UAUAAGGGACAGGUGAGUCAUCGAAUCUUUGAACGCACAUUGCGCCCCUUGGUAUUCCAUGGGGCAUGCCUGUUCGAGCGUCAUCUACACCCUCAAGCUCUGCUUGGUGUUGGGCGUCUGUCCCGCCUUUGCGCGUGGACUCGCCCCAAAUUCAUUGGCAGCGGUCCUUGCCUCCUCUCGCGCAGCACAUUUGCGCUUCUCGAGGUGCGCGGGCCGCGUCCACGAAGCAACUAUUACCGUCUUUGACCUCGGAUCAGGUAGGGAUACCCGCUGAACUUAAGCAUAUCAAUAAGCGGAGGA
RNAcentral lists this unclassified non-coding RNA (300 nucleotides) under uncultured Pleosporales. RNAcentral describes it as "sequence contains 5.8S rRNA gene, ITS2". The stretch from base 1 to 83 matches the Rfam family "5.8S ribosomal RNA", at positions 72 to 154 of the family's 154-position model. Lineage: Eukaryota; Fungi; Ascomycota; Dothideomycetes; Pleosporales. The record is from RNAcentral.